Long non-coding RNA from Apis cerana (Asiatic honeybee), 1555 nucleotides. RefSeq lists it as uncharacterized. NCBI's taxonomy places the organism in Eukaryota, Metazoa, Arthropoda, Insecta, Hymenoptera, Apidae. The record is from RefSeq and is a predicted model, not a curated record.
CACGUUUCAAAUCCAAUUAACGUUGAUCGAUUCUCGAACGUGUAACAGAAAGGUGUGCUCGAAGUGAAUGUAUACGCAUCGAAUCACGAAUCAUUACGUUGAAAAUCAGCCUCGUCGAACUGUAACUGUGCCGUGGUCAACUAAUAAUCAAUUCGUGCCCUUCAACGGCCGCAAUAAAUUUAUUAUCGGUGGAGCCGGCCGACAGAACGAUCCUCGCCAUUAUAGAUCGAUGUGUGCGCAAGCGUGACAAACAUCGAGAGGAUUGGAUCUCGAUGUAUGGCGAGUUGAUUGCAUUUGCAUAUAUCCAUUACGCGAACAUUCGAAAAAAUGGGAUUUCUUUUGAAGAUUGGAUGCGUGGCUUCCUGUGUAUUUUUCGCUGGAUACACAGUUACAACGUAGCGAUUUAUUCGUUUUUUUUUUCAUCCUUGCUUGCACCACUCAUAAUCGAAGACUUCGAUGUUCAACUUAGAUGUCAUAAAUCACGCGGUAGCUUGAUUUCAAGCUAGAUGAAAUGAUUGGUUAAAUAAAAUUAUUCGAACCAAAAAGAGAGAGAAAGAAGAAUUUGUCGUUGUAUUGAAAAUCAUAGCGUUGUUAGGUUAGGUUACAAAAGAAAGAAGCAUCAAGUUAAGUGAAAAAGGAUUAGAGAGGGAUAAGUCGAAGCAUCGAAAAAAGGUUUCACGAUCAGGACGUUGUUUCGUCGCUAUUAUUACGCCACACAAAAUUGGUCAAUCACAACGAAUACGAGUAAUUUACGUCAAAUGAACCUCACCAGGAAACUGUCCCGACUUGGAGCGUGACCGUUGUACGAUCUAUCGAUCCUCGUAUUAGCCGAGGGAUCCAUUAUGUUGCAGCUUCACCAUCUUCUCUAUGCAAAAAGAAUCUCAUACAUGGAAUCUCUAUUUUAGAAUCAAAGUUUUGUGUAAGAAAAAAGAAAUGGUUCUUGAAUCGAAAUCAAUAUAUUUAUUUGGCUGGAUUUAAUUCAGGUUAAAUGAAGCUAACACCAAGAUUUAUAAAAACAUAUAUGUAUCAUUGAAUUUCUCUUUUCGUAUGCAAAAACAAGAUCGUUACAAGAUUCAUCAUGCUGGCAGAAAAUAAACAAUACGAUAAAAAUUUGUAGAGAUUCCUGUUAAAAAAAAAAAAAAAAAAAAGAAAAAAGAGAAAAAUAAUUCUCAAGAAGAUUAUACUGCCGACGACAGUACCCUUUUACAAAUUAAUGCACGCUCGUGGGCGUAGACCCGCCACAUCUCGUGCAUAAGCACACGUUUUUCGUGAUGGGUCGGGCACGGGGAGGAAUCGGCUCAUUUGUUGCGUAUUAGCGGAGGAUAAUUAGGUUUCUCGAGACUGCCGCCUUUUGCGAAAGGCAAGCGACUUCAAGAGUCUUCCGAAAAAAAGAGAGGAGGGAAACGAAUGAGCUACGCCUACCCCUAGAAAUUUUCGUCGUGAGAAGGAAAAUCUCGAAAAUCACCGGUUGCCAAUCGAAAGUUAAUCGAUUCCGACGAUUUUACAUUUUCCUUGUCGAUAUAAUAAGAAAAGAUAAACAAGAUCGACUUAUAAU